This 3066-nucleotide ribosomal RNA is filed under the name Dioscorea cayenensis subsp. rotundata (Guinea yam). Its description in RNAcentral is "bacterial LSU rRNA". Lineage: Eukaryota; Viridiplantae; Streptophyta; Magnoliopsida; Dioscoreales; Dioscoreaceae. The record is from RNAcentral.
CUUGGCUUUGUCCUGAACCAAGGAGGCAUUCUGGCAGGCGGGCGCGUGCGUGUGCCGACUGUAGAGACUACAAGCCAAGGCCAGAAGUGAUUCGCUUCUAUUCUCGUCUGGUUGGGAUGGGAUUGGAUAUAGAUGGGGAAUCUCUAUAGAUCGUAGUAGUCUGCCAACCUCUCUAACUAGCAUAUGAUAUAAUUGAACUUCACGGCCACAAAACAAAAAAGAAAGAGCUUCGCUCGGUUGGCCCACCUACGCUGACACCUACUUUCUUUCUCUUCUCUUAAGUCCACAACAAGUGGGAGAGGCAAGAUUCGAACCUAGGUAGAAAACCUUCAACAGAUUUACAGUUUGUCACUUUUGACCACUCGGCUACUCUCCACUUCUCGGGCCGACACCCCUCUCAAAGUUUCCUGAAUAAGAAGGAUGGCGCCGUUCAGUUUUCUUCCCAGGACUCAACCAAACCAACCAUUAAAGUAAGUUCAGCUAACGAAACUAGAACAAGAAAUUUCAGACAUUGAUGAAGGGGCUUGCUUAAGGCCAUAGGCCUGUGCGUGAGGAAAUGCUUGGAAUUUCUCAGGCGGGAUAAGAUGACGGAAUGACUCAGAAUAGUUACCGAUGACCGAUUUCGUCAUUGAUGUGAAGCCUGGUUUGGAAAGUCCGCGAAUACAAAAAUGCACGAAAAGGGAUGGAACCUAUCUCCUCUUCUAGCGAACAUAUACCUAAACAAAUGGAUUACGAACCAAAUUGGGACUAAUCGCCGAUAUGCACGGUACACAGAUGACCUAACAUUUGGAUGCCCGAUAGGCGGCCUGUCUUUAUCUCAGUAGGGGUUGGAUUUCAUUUAGGUUCAGACCACGAAAGAGAAGACGGAGAUCUGGGCUUGGGAGUGGGCUGGCGGGAUCCGUGCUUUAAGAAAAAAGGAAAGGGUAAGUUAACCUUCCUGAAUAAGAGGUGUAUAGAUAAAAAAUAGGCCCGAUGCACCGCUAGGUGAAAGAGAACAGCGGAGCUGUAGUGGUCGGCCUUUGUUAAGUAGUAGCUUCCGCGCUGCCUUCCUUUAUGACCGACUGGGGCUGUUCAUCUUUCCUUCGAAGCUGCUAAACCCAUCUUACAAUCUUUCUUUCUCGAAUUCUUGAUCUUUGGUGCCUGUGGAGCAAAGGAAGAAGUAGGGGACGAACUCUUCUAUCUACCCUAGAAAUUGGUUGGAUCUAUUGAAUGAGAUCCUGGAGAUAGGGCUGGGAGGUAUGAGUCGAUCGGAUGUAGGGAAGCCCAGGCAAUCCCUUCCUAUCAAUCAUUCGUCAGGAAGCGGUGGAGAAAGAAUUUGAUUUCCAAAUCUCAUUGUUGAAGGUCGUUCGAGCAACUUCAGCGCCGCGCGACAUUGGCUCGAGGGCGGAAGGCCUUUACUUGAAACAAGCGAAAGGCUGGAAUAGAGCGGGAGUAAUAUCAUCUUUUGUUUUUGAAUCAUCCGGCUUUCCUAGCGCUUCUGAGUUAGAAUUUGACUUGUCUCGACUUCCCUUUGACUAGAUUGACUAGGGGACUUGAAUCUGCUUCCUCUUUCGGGUUGAUAGGCCAGGACACAGGCUGAGCUUCCCUCAUUAUGAUUCUAGGUAGGCAAGUUCUUAUAUGUCAGAUGCUUUAGGAACCUCAACCCAUGAAUACUCACAAGGAGUUUGAUCACGGCUUCUAUUCCCCUCUGGCUUAGGCUGAAACACACCUUGAGCCAGAACCAAGGUGCCCAGUUGAGUUCGUAGGUGUGCUAUGCCUAACGGUAACAUCACUGAGCUGCACCCAGAAAUACCAACUAAUAAACCCCUGAAACAGUUACCAGUUCCAGAUAGGACAGGUGAUAGGAUUGGAGGCCUAUACCAAAUAGAGUCGAAUUUCUUCAGCAUUACAUCAGAAUCACCCUACUUCACUCUCCAGUGUCUUACCAACUAUGGAGCACCGAUAAUAUCUAUCCAAACAUUGUCUUUCAUUAGUACUGUAUAGUACCAUGAGAUAGCCUAAGUUUGGCGAGGUCUCAAUGUCGGGUAAGUUCCGACACGCACAAAAGGCAUAAUGAUCAGGGCACUGUCUCGGAGAGAGGCUCGGUGAAAUAGACAUGUUUCUGAAGAUGCGGACUACCUGCACCUAGAUAGAAAGACCCUAUGAAGCUUUAUUGUUCCCUGGGAUUGGCUUUGGUCCAUUCCUGAGCUGCUUAGGUGGAGGGCAAAGAAGGCCUCCUUCCGGGGAGCCCAAGCCAUCAGUGAGAUACCACUUUGGAAGAGCUAGAAUUCUAACCUUGUGUCAGGACCUACGGGCCAAGGGACAGUCUCAGGUNUGGAAGAGCUAGAAUUCUAACCUUGUGUCAGGACCUACGGGCCAAGGGACAGUCUCAGGUUGAGAGUUUCUAUGGGGUGUAGGCYUCCCAAAGGGUAAUGGAGGCGUGCAAUACCCACCCGUCKAGCAGGGAUGAAAGUCRGCCUUAGUGAUCCGACRUUGCUGAGUGGAAGGGYCGUCRCUCAACGGAUAAAAGUUACUCUAGGGAUAACAGGCUGAUCUUCCMMAAGAGUUCACAUCGACGGGAAKGUUUGGCACCUCGAUGUGGGCUCUUCACUAUGUGGGGAUGUAGUAUGUUCCAAKGGUUGGGCUUUUCACCCAUUAAAGUGGUACAUUACGUGAGCUGGGUUCAGAACUUCAUGAGASAGUUCGGUCMAUAUUCGGUGCGGSCAUUAGAGCAUUGAGAUGAUGUUUCCCUAGUACGAGAGGACCGGGAAGGACGCACCUUUAGUGUACCAGUUAUCGUGCCCAUGGUAAACCCAGCCAAGUGCGGAGCGGAUAACUGCUGAAAACAUCUAAGUAGUAAGCYCACYCAAAGAUGAGUGCUCUCCUAUUCUGACUUCCCCAGAGCCUCYGGUAGCACAGCCGAGACAGUGACYAGUUCUCUGCCCCWGCGGGGAUGGAGCGACAGAAGUAUUAGGAAUCUAAGAUAAGGUCACGACGAGAUGAGCCAUUUAUCAUUAUGAUAGGUGUCAAGUGGAAGUGCAGUGAUGUAUGCAGCUGAGGCAUCCUAACAGACCGAGAGAUUUGAAC